RNAcentral lists this ribosomal RNA (578 nucleotides) under uncultured Bacteroidota bacterium. RNAcentral's name for it is "bacterial SSU rRNA". It matches the Rfam family "Bacterial small subunit ribosomal RNA", at positions 338 to 916 of the family's 1533-position model. The record is from RNAcentral. Lineage: Bacteria; Pseudomonadati; Bacteroidota.
CUUACGGGAGGCAGCAGUGAGGAAUAUUGGUCAAUGGGCGGAAGCCUGAACCAGCCAAGUAGCGUGCAGGAAGACGGCCCUCCGGGUUGUAAACUGCUUUUAGUUGGGAAUAAAACGGGGCUCGUGAGCCCCCUUGCAUGUACCAUCAGAAAAAGGACCGGUUAAUUCCGUGCCAGCAGCCGCGGUAAUACGGAAGGUCCGGGCGUUAUCUGGAUUUAUUGGGUUUAAAGGGAGCGCAGGCGGACCUUUAAGUCAGCUGUGAAAUACGGCGGCUCAACCGUCGAACUGCAGUUGAUACUGGAGGUCUUGAGUGCACACAGGGAUGGUGGAAUUCAUGGUGUAGCGGUGAAAUGCUCAGAUAUCAUGAAGAACUCCGAUCGCGAAGGCAGGCAUCCGGGGUGCAACUGACGCUGAGGCUGGAAAGUGCGGGUAUCAAACAGGAUUAGAUACCCUGGUAGUCCGCACAGUAAACGAUGAAUACUCGCGGUUUGCGAUAUAGUGUAAGCCGCCAAGCGAAAGCGUUAAGUAUUCCACCUGGGGAGUACGCCGGCAACGGUGCAACUCAAAUGAAUUGACGG